UAGGUAUAUUUACUGUUGAUUUGACAGUAGUACGUUUUGAUCUGACCGCCGCCACCGCACUCUUUGCUGCCAUGUUGUUCAAAAGGCCCAAUGAGGUAAAUGACAGAAGACGUGAAAACAGCUGUCAACAAAUAAUA
Molecule: non-coding RNA, 137 nt
Organism: Caenorhabditis elegans
Lineage: Eukaryota; Metazoa; Nematoda; Chromadorea; Rhabditida; Rhabditidae
Source: Ensembl